This 345-nucleotide unclassified non-coding RNA is filed under the name soil metagenome. RNAcentral describes it as "partial contains 5.8S ribosomal RNA, internal transcribed spacer 2, and large subunit ribosomal RNA". The stretch from base 1 to 119 matches the Rfam family "5.8S ribosomal RNA", at positions 35 to 154 of the family's 154-position model. The record is from RNAcentral.
GAUGAAGAACGUAGCGAAAUGCGAUACGUAAUGUGAAUUGCAAAUUCAGUGAAUCAUCGAGUCUUUGAACGCACAUUGCGCCCCCUGGUAUUCCGGGGGGCAUGCCUGUCCGAGCGUCAUUGCUGCCCUCAAGCAGGGCUUGUGUGUUGGGCCCCGUCCUCCGAUUCCGGGGGACGGGCCCGAAAGGCAGCGGCGGCACCGCGUCCGGUCCUCGAGCGUAUGGGGCUUUGUCACCCGCUCUGUAGGCCCGGCCGGCGCUUGCCGAUCAACCCAAAUUUUUAUCCAGGUUGACCUCGGAUCAGGUAGGGAUACCCGCUGAACUUAAGCAUAUCAAUAAGCGGAGGA